This 472-nucleotide ribosomal RNA is filed under the name uncultured bacterium. RNAcentral describes it as "partial 16S ribosomal RNA". It matches the Rfam family "Bacterial small subunit ribosomal RNA", at positions 35 to 539 of the family's 1533-position model. The record is from RNAcentral.
AACGAACGCUGGCGGCAUGCCUAACACAUGCAAGUCGAACGAGACCUUCGGGUCUAGUGGCGCACGGGUGCGUAACGCGUGGGAACCUGCCCUUAGGUUCGGAAUAACUCCCCGAAAGGGGUGCUAAUACCGGAUAAUGUCUUCGGACCAAAGAUUUAUCGCCUUUGGAUGGGCCCGCGUUGGAUUAGCUAGUUGGUAGGGUAAAAGCCUACCAAGGCGACGAUCCAUAGCUGGUCUGAGAGGAUGAUCAGCCACACUGGGACUGAGACACGGCCCAGACGCCAGAGGGGGGAGAGGGGGGAGAGAGUAGGAGAAAGGGCAAAGUCCGGAGCCAGAAUUGCAGUGUUGGUGAUAAAGGCGUGAGGGUUAUAAAUCGCUGUGACCCGGAAGGAAAAAGAAAGUAGGGGGAAAAUAAGCGGCGACGAGCUCCGUGCCAGAACCCGGGGUGAUAGAUAACGAUCACGGUCUGAAC